This 390-nucleotide ribosomal RNA is filed under the name uncultured Anaerolineaceae bacterium. Its description in RNAcentral is "bacterial SSU rRNA". It matches the Rfam family "Bacterial small subunit ribosomal RNA", at positions 981 to 1382 of the family's 1533-position model. The record is from RNAcentral. Lineage: Bacteria; Bacillati; Chloroflexota; Anaerolineae; Anaerolineales; Anaerolineaceae.
UUGACAUAGCAGUGGUAGGGAAGAGAAAUCCGGACCGACCCUUCGGGGAGCUGUUACAGGUGUUGCAUGGCUGUCGUCAGCUCGUGUCGUGAGAUGUUCGGUUAAGUCCGCUAACGAGCGCAACCCGCGUUGUGUGUUAUAUGUGUCACACAAUACCGCCGGUAUUAAGCCGGAGGAAGGUGCGGAUGACGUCAAGUCAGCAUGACCUUUAUAUCCAGGGCUACACACACGCUACAAUGGACAGUACAACAGGUUGCCAAGCCGCGAGGCGGAGCCAAUCCUCUAAAGCUGUCCUCAGUUCAGAUUGCAGGCUGCAACUCGCCUGCAUGAAGCCGGAAUCGCUAGUAAUCGCGGAUCAGCAUGCCGCGGUCGAAUACGUUCCCGGGCCUU